UCUGACUGUGUGUGAGAGCUGAUAACCAAGGCUUGGAAACAGCUCUCAGUUACCUAUUGUAUAAUAGGUAUUGUGGCAUCUAAUGGGAUAACCAGAUCCCUUCAGAGUCUCAGGGAAACUCUAAUAGGAAGAGCACACUGUCUGA
Molecule: long non-coding RNA, 145 nt
Organism: Chiroxiphia lanceolata (lance-tailed manakin)
Lineage: Eukaryota; Metazoa; Chordata; Aves; Passeriformes; Pipridae
Exons: 3
Source: RefSeq, a predicted model, not a curated record